Molecule: long non-coding RNA, 3033 nt
Filed under: Capra hircus (goat)
Lineage: Eukaryota; Metazoa; Chordata; Mammalia; Artiodactyla; Bovidae
Description: lncRNA (ENSCHIG00010010014.1)
Source: RNAcentral
CCCAACGAUGCACAAGGUUUCCCUUUUCGCCACAUCCUUGCCAGCUUUUAUCUAGGUUUUUACUUAUUAACAGUGCAGAAACCAAGGUUAUGGGCUGUCUGGGGUUUUGCUCUUUCAAAACAUAAUCUGAAUGAGUUAAUUUUGAGGCACUAAAUGUCAGAAUCGAUUCUGCAUUCAUUCCAAAUGGAAUGUCUCAACCUGUCUACACACGUCCAUUCGCUUGCGCUCGAGUCAUUUAUAAAUCAGUCCUUCAGGGGAACAUUUAUGGGGUCAGAACCAGAAGGUUUCUGCCCUGGCAGCCGGGAGAGAAGGCUUGUGGGUAAACCGGGUCCCGGCUUACCGCCUCAGCAACAAUCAAGCAGGGGACUAGCCUAAGGCCCUGGGCUGCAUAGCCGGAAGAGAACACCAGAGGAGAGCUGACGCGGUUGAAGAAAAGAAGGCGGAAUGAUCACCCGCCAAGAAGAUACAGAACGAGCCCAGUGCACUGCUUCGAGCACCAACCGCCAGCUCGGCCCAGCCCAGCCCACUACAGAGGAAUGAGGAAGUGGAGGAGGCUGGGCCUCCGAAAGGGAAGAAGCCUACUAGAGCUUGAAAGAAAACUGAAGGUGAAAGUGUCAGUCGUUCAGUCAUGUCUGACUCUUUGCUAUCCCAUGAACUGCAGCUCUCCUCUGUCCUUGAAAUUUUUCAGGCAGAUUCUUUACCAUCUGAGUUACCAGGGAAGCCUUGUGGAGCUUGCUUUAGCAAAAAGAAAGGUCAUUUUAUAUAAAGUUGCAAGUACCUCAUGAAACUCAAGGGUUGGUAUGAAGACAGACUUCAGGAAGGGCCUGGAACUGUGCAGUGGAGCCCAAGGUAUAAUAUAUUUUGUCUCAACUUCUCACUGUACAUCUGCUUUUUCUUUCUUGACAAAGACUGUCUGCCACCAGAAUAUGGCUGUGACACAGUCCCUAGUUAAGAGGAUAUGGACCUACUGGGAAGAGACAGACUGAUAAUGGUCUUCCUUCAGUUCAGUCGCUCAGUCGUGUCCGAGUCUUUUUGACCCCAUGGACUGCAGCACGCCAGACCUCCCUGUCCAUCACCAACUCCUGGAGUUUAACCAAACUCUUGUCCAUUGAAUCAGUGAUCUGAUUUUAAAUUCUCAGGAAUAAGAGUACAAUUAGCAAAUUAGGAUCAUGAGUCUACCUGUAGUUCAUUUGGUAUGGUGUGAGAUAUAUGUGUGGAAGUAGAACAUGGAAAAACCAAUAGGGCUGACAGAAGUCUACUUUGUGUUCCUGUGGGUGGGGGUGCCAUUUCCAAAGACAGGCAAAAGUGUUCAAUACACUGGGUAUCUUGUUCUGUUCCUAGAAUCUCUGAUACAUGGUUAACAAUGUAUCUACAUUGAAACUGUUAUAAAGUCAUAGGUGUUUACCUUCUUACACAACCAACAUCACUACUGUGAAAGUUGAAUUCAUGACUUAAUAUUUCUUGUAAUGUCUAAAAGAUAUAAUAAGCAGCAGAAAGAUCCAUUUUUACAUUUGGAAAUGAAGUCAAACAUCAGAAACUGCUUCAAAAUGCUCCAGAACUUUCCUUUUCCAGCAUCAAUCUAGUUAAUUUGGGAAGUCAGCAUACAGGGGAGCAGGGUUUUCCUAUGGUGAAGAGAGUAUAGAAGUGUCCCCCUAGUUCACAGGAGAGAGUCACCAUACCAUAGACUCUGGUUUAUAAAAUUGUAGUUACCCCUGAAGCUAGUCUUGAGCUCAGCAGGCUUAUAUUAUUUGACUAGUAUUUGUAGACAUAUAAUCUAGUAGGUGUCUUUCUAAGCCUAUUGGAAUAUAAAUCUUUCUUACUUGAAAUGGAAACAAACUCAUAAAUUUUGCCCAGCUAAGCCGUUGUUAAAUUGGUUAUAGUGUAACAUUUAGCUAGGAUUGUACAACCAUUUCCACACUCAUAAAUCUUGGUCAUUGUGCUCAGAAUUUUAUGUUAGAAGCAGGAGUAAUUAAAAACAGUAAUUUACUGAUAGUCCAAAGGUACUGAAUAGCAAAAACUGUUCCACUGUUUAUUCUUGGUGCACAUAUAACAACAUUUUAAAAAAAGAAAAGGUUAUGGAGGAGGACCUGAUUAUGCUUUUCUAAGGAAUUUUUCCUUUCAACCCCAAACUGGGUUUUUGAUUAGGUUAGCCUAUCAAUUUAAAACAUUGCCAAGCUCUGCUUUUCAAUACAAUCCUUUUUUUCUUCCUUCCCUCCUCCCUACCUCCCUUCCUUUUCCCUUCUAUAUUCCUUCCUUUCUUGCUUCUUUCCUACUUACUUUUUCAUUCAUCCAUUUAUUCUCUCUUUGAAAGAGCAAUGUGUAGCAUUUGAAACCAUUUAAUUAUUUGGUUUNNNNNNNNNNNNNNNNNNNNNNNNNNNNNNNNNNNNNNNNNNNNNNNNNNNNNNNNNNNNNNNNNNNNNNNNNNNNNNNNNNNNNNNNNNNNNNNNNNNNNNNNNNNNNNNNNNNNNNNNNNNNNNNNNNNNNNNNNNNNNNNNNNNNNGACAGAGGAGCCUGGUGGGCUACAGUCCAUGGGUUGGCAAAGAGUCGGACAGGACUGAGCAACUAACAGUUUCACUUUUCACUUUUUCAUCAGCUAGUCAACACCGUUAAAUAAAGGGAAAGUAAGACAGAAUUGUUGGCAACCAUAGGAUGAUCAAAGUCAUAAGCUCUAGACUAAAACUUGUCUGUGGAUAGUUUCCAUUUGGCUGCCCGGUAUGCAGACACUUCUCUUAUUUGACUUAAUCACAAUUUAGGUAGAAAAUAGGAUGAAAGGGGGCAAAUAGAUAUUCCUUUUCCUGUUUACCUGAUAGCUGGGGUUUGGGGAAGUGAAUUGGGCUCAAUUAAUUUACUAAUCGAUGUCCUAGUCCAAGCUUUGAAAUUUGAAGAAAAUAAAUAGCAUUCAGAAUUUAUAGAAUUUUUGAUGUGACAGGAAGUUACUAAUUAAUUCAGUUUAGUUCAGUUCAGUCGCUCAGUCGUGUCCGGAUCUUUGGGACCCCAUGAAUCACAGCACGCCAGGCCUCCCUGUCCAUCACC